RNAcentral lists this ribosomal RNA (468 nucleotides) under uncultured bacterium. RNAcentral describes it as "partial 16S ribosomal RNA". It matches the Rfam family "Bacterial small subunit ribosomal RNA", at positions 28 to 507 of the family's 1533-position model. The record is from RNAcentral.
GACGAACGCUGGCGGCGUGCUUAACACAUGCAAGUCGAACGGAAAGGCCCUGCUUUUGUGGGGUGCUCGAGUGGCGAACGGGUGAGUAACACGUGAGUAACCUGCCCUUGACUUUGGGAUAACUUCAGGAAACUGGGGCUAAUACCGGAUAGGAGCUCCUGCUGCAUGGUGGGGGUUGGAAAGUUUCGGCGGUUGGGGAUGGACUCGCGGCUUAUCAGCUUGUUGGUGGGGUAGUGGCUUACCAAGGCUUUGACGGGUAGCCGGCCUGAGAGGGUGACCGGCCAAAAUGGGACUGAGGUACGGCCCAGGCUGCUACGGGAGGCAGCAGUGGGGAAUAUUGCACAAUGGGCGGAAGCCUGAUGCAGCAACGCCGCGUGCGGGAUGACGGCCUUCGGGUUGUAAACCGCUUUCGCCUGUGACGAAGCGUGAGUGACGGUAAUGGGUAAAGAAGCACCGGCUAACUACGUG